GACGAACGCUGGCGGCGUGCCUAAUACAUGCAAGUUGAGCGCUGAAGGUUGGUACUUGUACCAACUGGAUGAGCAGCGAACGGGUGAGUAACGCGUGGGGAAUCUGCCUUUGAGCGGGGGACAACAUUUGGAAACGAAUGCUAAUACCGCAUAAAAACUUUAAACACAAGUUUUAAGUUUGAAAGAUGCAAUUGCAUCACUCAAAGAUGAUCCCGCGUUGUAUUAGCUAGUUGGUGAGGUAAAGGCUCACCAAGGCGAUGAUACAUAGCCGACCUGAGAGGGUGAUCGGCCACAUUGGGACUGAGACACGGCCCAAACUCCUACUGGAGGCAGCAGUAGGGAAUCUUCGGCAAUGGACGAAAGUCUGACCGAGCAACGCCGCGUGAGUGAAGAAGGUUUUCGGAUCGUAAAACUCUGUUGGUAGAGAAGAACGUUGGUGAGAGUGGAAAGCUCAUCAAGUGACGGUAACUACCCAGAAAGGGACGGCUAACUACGUG
RNAcentral lists this ribosomal RNA (497 nucleotides) under uncultured bacterium. RNAcentral describes it as "partial 16S ribosomal RNA". It matches the Rfam family "Bacterial small subunit ribosomal RNA", at positions 28 to 507 of the family's 1533-position model. The record is from RNAcentral.